AUUGGACCGCCGAGAGCAACGUUCCAUUUUGGUUCCACAUGGCCGAGGUGCUCUGAAAGUUUGUAGCAGAGAAACUCCACUUUACUCGACUCACUGUCAGGUGACACUGUAGCAACAUGGAGGGGAGAUUGCUCCUGGUGAUCCAGCUCUGAUAAGAUCAGCAUGUUACAGUGAAUCCUCGAUAAUAACGUGGCCUGAUUGAGGCUUGUUUGGAGUGUAAUCCGAGCCCACGGAGCUGCCUCUCCGGUGGGAAACGUGGGCAGAGCGCCGUCAAACAGCGUUUAAAUGGGGAUGUUUCACUCAUAUGUUUGGGCACAGAGCUGACUCCAUGUGGGAGUUUAUUACAAGGGCGCGCCAGAUAUCAACUUGUCACGAUGUUCCAAAUUUCCUUUGUGUCUCCAGGCCUCCUUUAUGAGCAGCUUGCAAAUGAAUUUGUGGAUGCACCCAUCAAGGAGCAGAUGCACACGGUAACCCAUAGGUGCGGCAGACCAAAGUCCAUUUAACAAGAGAGAGGAUCAGGUAUAAUGUUGUGCACGUUGAGGGGGAUCACCGGAGAGACACACGAGGCCUCGUUAAUUUAUGAAGUGACGAGCAUAAUUAGAGACAGGGUUUUGUAUAAGAAUGUCUUCCAUUAAUAUGCAGCUAUUAAAAGAUGAAAUCUGCAUCCCACAAAUUACACAAACUAUAUUCACAAUAUUCAGAUGCUUGAUAGACAAAAUAUAAAUGAUCCAAACCAGCUGUUUAAACAUGAGGCAAUGAAACAGUUCGUCUCUUCCAUAAUUUCCAUUUAUUCUUUCUUUAA
Long non-coding RNA from Epinephelus moara (kelp grouper), 802 nucleotides. RefSeq lists it as uncharacterized. The record is from RefSeq and is a predicted model, not a curated record. NCBI's taxonomy places the organism in Eukaryota, Metazoa, Chordata, Actinopteri, Perciformes, Serranidae. The transcript is spliced from 3 exons.